This is a non-coding RNA of Cajanus cajan (pigeon pea), 2879 nucleotides long. Lineage: Eukaryota; Viridiplantae; Streptophyta; Magnoliopsida; Fabales; Fabaceae. The record is from RefSeq and is a predicted model, not a curated record.
AGAAAAUAAAGUGGAGUAGUAGGGGUAGGAAGUAGGAAGUAGGAAGUAGGAAGGUUGUGUUGUAGUUGGAGGAUAGAAUGGAGUAAAAGAGAAGGGUAAUAAAGUUGAGGAGAGAGAGAAUUGGGAUGGACCUGGUGGAGUUGGAGGCGGUGGAAGGGCUCCGAUGGACGUGGAAUUCAUGGCCGGCGGAGGGGAAGAAAAGCAGUAACAGUCUGGUGAUCCCUCUCAGCAUAAUGUGCACACCCUUGGCCUUGAUGCAGAGCAGCGAUGUCCCUCUUCUGCCAUACGAUCCACUUGGGUGCUCCAGAUGCGGCGCCGUUUUGAACCCCUACGCCCGACUCGACUACCAGUCACGCAUCUGGCACUGCCCCUUCUGCUCCCGCCGCAAUCCCUUCCCCCGCCCCAUCGCCGACACCAACCUCCCCGCCGAGCUCUUUCCCACCUACAGCACCGUCGAGUACUCUCUCCUCCCUCCCUCUCCCCCUCCCCCCGCCUUCCUCUUCCUCCUCGACCUCUCCACCCCCGACCACCAGCUCCUCCCCCUCAAGAACCACCUCCUCCACCUCCUCCACCACCUCCCCGACCACGCCCUCGUCUCCCUCCUCACCUUCGACUCCUUCGUCUACCUCCACCGCCUCCGCUACUCCCACUUCUCCUCCCUUCUCCUCUUCCACGGCCACCGCCACCUCUCCUCCACCCAGAUCCGCCACUUCCUCGGACAAUCCCCCAAACACUCCUUCCUCCUCCCUAUCUCCGAAUGCCAAUUCACCAUCACCUCCGCUAUCGAAGAGAUCCGCUCCACUUCCACCUCCGCCUCCCCCUCCCAAACUCGCCCCCCGCGCUGCACCGGCGCUGCAAUCUCCGUCGCCCUCGGCCUCCUCGAAUCUUGCCAAAUCUCCACCGGCUCCAGAAUCAUGCUCUUCACCUCCGGCCCCGCCACUCUCGGUCCCGGAAUCGUCGUCGAUUCUGAUCUCCGCCAACCUAUCCGAACCCACCACCACAUCUUCAACGCCCAAGCUACGCACCACGCCAAGUCCUGCGCCUUCUAUAACCAAGUCUCCAAGAGGCUCUCCGACGCUUCUGUUGUCCUCGAUCUCUUCGCCUCUUCCCUCGACCAACUCGGGGCCGCCGAGCUACGCCAACCCGUGGAACGCUCCGGCGGAUUCAUGAUCCUCUCCGACUCCUUCGAUUCCGAGCAGUUCAAGAAAUGUCUCAGGCAUAUAUUCAAGUGCGACGACCACGGCCAUUUGGAGAUGAAUUUCGAUGCCACUAUUGAAAUUGUCACCACCCGAGAUGUCAAAAUCUCCGGAGCGCUUGGUCCCUGCGUGUCUCUUCAGAGAAAGAAUGGUUUGGUGAGUGAGACUGAGGUUGGAGAAGGUGGCACCUCUGUGUGGAAGUUAAACACAGUCACCAACAAAACCUGCAUUGCCUUCUUCUUCCAAGUGAAUUAUGAGCACAAAAUUCAACCUGGCUCUGCGUUUUUGAUUCAGUUUAUAACGCGAUACAGGCAGGGGAACUUGGGAUACCGGAAAAGAGUUACCACUGCUGCAAGGCGAUGGGUUGCGAACCAUUCCGCCGAUAUUGCCGCCGGCUUUGAUCAAGAAGCCGCCGCUGCGGUUAUGGCCAGACUCGCCAUUCUCCGGGCAGAGACUUGCCAUGCCCGUGAUGUCAUUCGAUGGCUGGAUGACACACUUAUUAGUUUUGCUUCCAAGUUUGGGGACUAUGUGCCGGAAGAUGCAUCUUCUUUCCGCCUAUCAUCAAACUUUUCCCUUUAUCCCCAGUUUAUGUUCCACUUGAGGAGAUCUCAAUUCAUUGAUGUUUGCAACACUACUCCCGAUGAAACUGCAUUUUUCAGGCUGGUGCUGAACCGGGAGGGAGUAGUAGGCUCUCUUAUAAUGAUUCAACCAACGCUUUUCCAGUAUUCGUUUGAUGGCCCACCUGUUCCUGUACUACUAGAUAUUCGUUCUGUUUCUCCCGAUUUUAUCUUGCUCUUUGAUUCUUUCUUCUAUGUGGUGAUUCAUUAUGGCUCCAAGAUUGCACAGUGGAGGAAGCUGGGUUAUGACAAGGAUCCCAAUCAUGAGAACUUCAGAAAGUUGUUGGAGGCCCCAGAACUGGAUGCCGAGCAAUUGGUGGCUGACCGGAUUCCGGUGCCCAGGAUUAUAAGAUGUGACCAGCAUAGUAGUCAGGCUAGAUUUCUUCUUGCCAAGUUGAAUCCAUCUGUUACUCAAAAUUCAACCUACACAGAAGGCUCGGAUAUUAUAUUUACCGAUGACCUCAGCUUGGAAGUUUUUCUAGACCAGUUGCAGGUGCUGGCGGUGCAAAGCUGAUAAAGAAGGACAUUCAUUUGAAUUAUUCUCUAUAUCGGCUCACGUCAAAGAAUAUUUGAAUUUUGCUAACCCUAGUGGUCUUUUCAGGGCUUCAUCUAUCGCUGACUGUCAGGUGAUAUUGAUUUGGAUUUGGUAAAACUGGUUGGUGACGCUUACAAAAUAAUACCUCCUCACCCUCAGACACAUGAUGCUAUAGUUAUGUGGUUGACAUCAUAGAAAUUACAGACUAUGGAGCCUCCAGUAAUCACUCCGUAUCAAAUCCUUGAUUGCAAACCUUCGUCACAUACAAGAUUUAUUUAGAAAGCUAGUGACAAACUCUGGCCUGAAGUUGAUUAUUACAUUUGUUUAUUAAUUUCAGAAUAUUGUAAAAUACAUCCAGAUCAACAAUGUAAAAAAUGGAAUACUCGUUUAGUAUCAGUCUGGAGUAUGGUAUUUCUUAUAGGCAUAACUCAGUUGAAAAGAAAUGUAAAAUCUCCCCUGUUCCUUGGAGUAUUUGGUAAAAAAGAAAUGUAUUUCCAGCAGUUCUUCCAAUCCACAUCUAUGUUAUGCGAC